UACCAGCACCCCGAGUGGUCGGGACGUUUAUUGGGCCUAAAGCAUCCGUAGCCGGUUCUACAAGUCUUCCGUUAAAUCCAGCUGCUUAACAGAUGGGCUGCGGAAGAUACUAUGGAGCUAGGAGGCGGGAGAGGCAAGCGGUACUCGAUGGGUAGGGGUAAAAUCCGUUGAUCCAUUGAAGACCACCAGUGGCGAAGGCGGCUCCACUGGCCCGG
This 215-nucleotide ribosomal RNA is filed under the name uncultured bacterium. RNAcentral describes it as "partial 16S ribosomal RNA". It matches the Rfam family "Archaeal small subunit ribosomal RNA", at positions 474 to 688 of the family's 1478-position model. The record is from RNAcentral.